CUACGUUGGGGGCGAGCGUUGUCCGGAAUGAUUGGGCGUAAAGGGCGCGUAGGCGGCCCGGGAAGUCUGGAGUGAAAGUCCUGCUCUUAAGGCGGGAAUUGCUUUGGAUACUGUCGUGCUUGAGUGCAGGAGAGGUAAGUGGAAUUCCCCGUGUAGCGGGGUAAUGCGUAUAUAUUUGGAGGAAUACCAGUGGCGUAGGCGCCUUUCUGGGCUGCUAGUGACGCUGAGGCACGAAAGCGUGGGGUGAAAACAGGAAUUGAUACCCGGGUAGGCCCCGCUGUAAACGAUGAAUGCUAGGUGUAGGGGGUAUACGCCCCGUGUGUGCCGCAGUUAACACAAUAAGGCUUCCGCCUUGGGAAUUAGGCCGCAAGGUUGAAACUCAAAUGAAUUGGCGGGG
RNAcentral lists this ribosomal RNA (397 nucleotides) under uncultured bacterium. RNAcentral describes it as "partial 16S ribosomal RNA". It matches the Rfam family "Bacterial small subunit ribosomal RNA", at positions 523 to 918 of the family's 1533-position model. The record is from RNAcentral.